AAAGAAGUGGCUUAGAAAUCUGCCUUAAGUAGCACCUUCUGCUACAUCAUGAUACCAAACUAUGAAGAGGCAAGUUAUGGGGAGAUGAUCAGGAAAAGCAGGGUAAACAAGAGUAAGUAAGGUUUGUUAUUCAGGUUCAAAUUAGUGCUUUCUCCUUCAAUGUCCCUAGUAAUUUAGUCAGCCUUCUCUUCCUGAUACAGAGGAAGAGGUACACACACAAGUGGAAAUUUCCUCUAUAGAUGUAAAUUUCCCUUAAAAAAGGUAACUUAUGCUGUUUUCAGGGCUUUUCUGUGUGUGUCUGCUAUUUCUCAAAAUAAUCAGCUCCAAGUCAUUCCUAUGCCAAAGAGGCAUAUUGAAGAUAGGAUAUUUUGGUCUCCUACUGUCCUAUAUUGGAGUAGCAUAAUUAUCUUCUAUAGCAGAAAUAGACAAUAGUCAAAAUGUAAGGGGAAAAGUCAAUGAUUUGCAGGAAGACAAAUGGUACAUAAAGUUGUCCCUCAGUAUCCACACAGGGGAUUGGUUCUAGGGACCCAGGGAUAUCAAAAUUCACAAAGGCUGGAGUCCCUCAAUACAAAAUGGUGUUGUAUGUGCACAUAACCUGUGCACAUCCUCCUAAAUACUUUAAAUCACUUCUAGCCACUUAUAAUUCCUAAAAAAAUGUAAAAAAUUCUUAGACAAAAAGUUGUUAUACUGUUUUACUUAGGAAUAAUCCCAAGCAGAAGAUCUGUAAGUGUUCAGUAUAGAUGUAGCUUCUUCCCCCAAAUAUUUUCAAUCAGCAAUUGGUUGAAUCCACAAGGAGAGAUGACUUGAUAUCUGAUGUAAGAGAAACUCCAGACUUUUACAUGAUUACUUAAUUUAGUAUUUCUAGCUACUUGAAAAUUAUUAUCCCUACUUACACUAAAGCUUAGAGGAUAUAGGUAAUUUGUUCAACUCCAUAUAACUAGAAGUAUUUGAACCCUGUUCUCUCUGAAUCUAAGACAUUUUCUUUAUUCACUAUAUGGUGCUGAACUCAAUGAAUUCCUCAGGUAAGUAAUGACCCAGAUGCCUAUUUAAAUUAAUAUCUAUUUCCAAAUUUUCACAGUGAUAUUUUUCAAUAUGUCAUUUGAAUUCCAUUUCUUUCACAGUCAACAAGUCACAUGUAGUUAAAUAGUUCUCACCAAAGAUGUAAAUAUAUUACAUUUGUACAUCUCUAUAGCUAUGAGGACUUUUGUAAUUUGUAAUUACAAAUAUUGAAAAAUAUAAGUUAUGCCUAUUUUCAAGUUGAAACAAAUGCAAAGUUUUCCAAAAACAUUAUCAUUACUUUAUCUUAUUUUCAUUCAAUUUAUAUUCUUGAGAGGAAGAGGGGAAAGGGGCAUGCCUAGGAAUGUUGCCUAACCCUCUGGCAUCUACUUAACCAAUUCCAUGCUCAUUGUAAGUGACUUUUACUAAUCAUGAUGAAUCAUAAAGUGUGUUACUUAACCUCAAAAUUAAAAAAAAAAAAAUUCUGGAUAUACCGAUAUCUAUCAUAUAAUGAUGAUAAAACUGCUGAGAUAGAAUAUUGAGGAAUACUUAUUUCUGACUGUAUUCACAGAUUACAAUUUGGUGCAUCAAUUCUUUUUGUGGUUUAACAAAUAUUUAUUCUAUUGUGCUUACUGUUUGUAAUAUACAGCAAAGAUAGAAUUAGAAGCUCUGUCCCUAACCCUUAAAUGGUACCCUCAGACUGAUUGACUCCUAAAAGUCUGUCCCCUAAACUCAAUUGAAAUUGUUGCAACAAAGCUUCUGUCCUGAUCGAAUUUGGAGAAAAAAAAGUUGGACGGAACCUGAUCAAAGAAUGAGAGGUGAGCAAAAUAGAAUAUCCACUCUUUUUAGUAGGUGAGCUGUUUUUUCUCGCCACUGACAUGGAUAGCUUUCUGUAGAAAUCCUAACUACAUGCAUAUAAACAUACAUUUCCAUAUGUACAUUUGGAAUAUCUACACAUGUACAUGUCCCUACCUUCAAUGUCCUGUCUCAUCAGUACCAAAUGCACAGAAAAAAAAAUGCACCACAAGGAAAACAGCUGGGAGUCAUUACUCAUAGCCAGGAUCAAGGGGGAGAAACACCUGGCAGGUGGAGUGUUCCCUCUGACAAAAUUGUCCAGAAAUCUGGAAAGGGAAAUAUUGUUUAAAACAUGGAUCUUAAAAUAAAUCAUGAUUAUAACUUCCUCUGGUCUUGGUGUUCUUUUCUUUUUUUUCUUUUUUAAACUCGAUUCUUAUUGCUGAAAAAUGGAAUAUUUGGCAUGAUAAAAUAAUAAGCAGAAAUUAAGUUGUGAUGGGACUUAGAGGAUUCCAUAAUGAACAUGGCUAUAUCCCUUUUCUCCUCUGCCUGUGCAGCCUAUUAACUGUCAUGCCAACAUUAUUUUGUUGUUGUCGCUUUAAAGUGGAGAUGUGGAAAUUGGACUAUGUGGAGAAAGAGAAGACCUGAAAACUAUUGCAAGCCCAUCUCUGUUCGGGAAAUUUGCUUAUUU
This 2479-nucleotide long non-coding RNA is filed under the name Marmota monax (woodchuck). The record is from RNAcentral. Lineage: Eukaryota; Metazoa; Chordata; Mammalia; Rodentia; Sciuridae.